RNAcentral lists this ribosomal RNA (466 nucleotides) under uncultured bacterium. RNAcentral's name for it is "partial 16S ribosomal RNA". It matches the Rfam family "Bacterial small subunit ribosomal RNA", at positions 28 to 507 of the family's 1533-position model. The record is from RNAcentral.
GAUGAACGCUGGCGGCGUGCUUAACACAUGCAAGUCGAACGAUGAAGCCCAGCUUGCUGGGUGGAUUAGUGGCGAACGGGUGAGUAACACGUGAGUAACCUGCCCUUAACUCUGGGAUAAGCCUGGGAAACUGGGUCUAAUACCGGAUAGGAGCGUCCACCGCAUGGUGGGUGUUGGAAAGAUUUAUCGGUUUUGGAUGGACUCGCGGCCUAUCAGCUUGUUGGUGAGGUAAUGGCUCACCAAGGCGACGACGGGUAGCCGGCCUGAGAGGGUGACCGGCCACACUGGGACUGAGACACGGCCCAGACUCCUACGGGAGGCAGCAGUGGGGAAUAUUGCACAAUGGGCGCAGGCCUGAUGCAGCGACGCCGCGUGAGGGAUGACGGCCUUCGGGUUGUAAACCUCUUUCAGUAGGGAAGAAGCGAAAGUGACGGUACCUGCAGAAGAAGCACCGGCUAACUACGUG